Molecule: non-coding RNA, 1954 nt
Filed under: Pan troglodytes (chimpanzee)
Lineage: Eukaryota; Metazoa; Chordata; Mammalia; Primates; Hominidae
Source: RNAcentral
CUUGAUAUGUGUGGCAUGGGCUCCUUCAGGUGCUAGUGGAUUCCUUAGGAUGGUGGUGUUGGCAUGAAAGGCAGGCUUGUAUCAUGAGGAAUGAUUGUCAUCUUGUAUGAUUCUUGGAGAUGGCAGGAAGCCCCUGGAAACACAUGGUGUGGACUCCUUCACAGGCUGUUGAAACCCUCCUGAAUGUGUUGUGGCCAUGGAAGUAAGGCCAGUGGCUACGAGGGACAGUCUUCAUCUUGGGAGAUCCCUAGAGAGGGCAGGGAGCCCCUUGACAUGUGGAAUGUGGUCUCCGUUGGGUGCUGGUGGAUCCCACAGGUGGUCUGGCAUGGAAGAAGUCCAGAGGCUGCGAUGGAUCAUCUUUGUCUUGGGAGAUUCCUGGAGAUGGUGGGGAGCCCCUGGGCACGUGCAGCAUAUGUGGCGUGGGCUUCUUCAGGUGCUGGUGGAUCCCUCAGGAUGCUUUUCAAGGUUUUUCUAUGAGUUCUGUUAAAGAGUCUGAAAAUGGAGCGUAGAAGACAUGCUUCGAUUUCCAGGAUGGUUGUGUUUUCCAGAGAGGCGAAGUUCAUUGUGGAACCAGCACAGAUUUUCAUACGAAAGUUAUUUCUUUUUAACCUCAAAAAGUGACAGAAUGGAGUGUAUCAUGAAAAAGUCUGACAUCAAAACCUCAAAAUGUGAUAUUGAUUGGGUGAGAUAGAAUUCCAUGGAAUUUCAUUGCCAAACCAGUGAAGUGCUAAUUUUGACAUUUGUACCAGCUAACGUAGCCGUGAAGAAACACACCAAUACACUUCUAAGGACAGCAUAGACCAAGAUCUAGGUUUCAUAUGGAUGAAUUUAUUCUUCCCUUUGAGGCAAGACAAGAAGGAAAGAAAGUAUUGGGAAUAAUGCUGCCCUCCCAUCCUCAAGGGCCAGUGGGAACUCUAAUAUUGAUUGGUUUUCACAGAAUUCCAUGGACUUUAACUGCUGAAGUAAUGAUGUGCUGAUUUUGUCAUUUGUACCAGCUAACUCAUCUGGGAGGCAACAAAACAAUACUCUCCUGAGGUUAAUGUGGACCAAAAACUAGAUUUCAUAUAAAAGAGUUUAUUCCUUCUACUUGAGGUGUGACAUGAAGGAAAGUAAUGGAAAUAAUUCUGCCCUCCCAUUCUCAAGGGCCAGGGGGAAUUCAAAUAUUGAACGGAAGUGAUUUUGGAAUUGCAUGGAAUUCUCACUGCCAUCCCAAAGAAAUGCUGAUCUUGUCACUCUUACCUGUUUCAUUCCCUGGGGCAGAACAAAAGGACGCACUCCAAAGAUGGGCAUGAACCAAGAACUGGGUUUCAUAUAAAAUAUUUUAUUCUGUCCUCUUGAGAUGUGACAUGAGAAAAGUAUUGAGAAUACUUCUAUCACCUCAUCUUCAAGAAUCCGUAGGAAUUCUCCCAUGGUGGACUUUAUGGUUAACCUGAACAGGUCUUGGAAAAAGGACUUUAAACAUUCUCCUGUUCUGUGGAAUAAGUAUACUUUUUUCUGGACAUACACGUUGUCAGUGAGUUCCAUGUGAUACUAGAGUUGCAUAGAUUUUUAACCUUUACGCCAAUGAAGAUCUGAGGCAAACAUUGCCCCUUUUUUAGAAGUUUGCAUUUGUCACUGAUAACUGUAAUAAUUGAUCUUGUUGAAAAGCCUGGGAAAUGAAGAUCUGAUACGUCACUUUUACCGGCUUCCUCAACUGAAAAAGAAUACAAUGAAACACGCUGAGAAUUUUUGUGCUUUCUCAGUCUUGCUGAUGAUCUUUCUAUGGGCCUGAAGCGUGGAGAGUGCCAGAGAGGCUGAUCCUCAGCAGUGUGGCAGAGGAAAGUUGGGUGCGACUAAGGGGUAUGCGGUGCCCAAAUGCCACUGGGUCCUCAGCAGUACCACCUGGUCAACAAAGACAAGGCACCUAGCCUCACAUGAAACUUUAUUCCUUUCCCUUUUGAGAUGUGACAUGAAA